UGGGAGCCGGUAUAGGGUAGAUGUUAGCGCGUCUGCCUUCCACUCUGAAGGUCUUGGGUUCGAACCCCAAGUUCGUAU
This is a non-coding RNA of Arthromyces matolae, 78 nucleotides long. NCBI's taxonomy places the organism in Eukaryota, Fungi, Basidiomycota, Agaricomycetes, Agaricales, Lyophyllaceae. The record is from the annotation of a GenBank genome assembly.